Molecule: ribosomal RNA, 1111 nt
Filed under: Enterococcus durans
Lineage: Bacteria; Bacillati; Bacillota; Bacilli; Lactobacillales; Enterococcaceae
Description: bacterial SSU rRNA
Rfam family: Bacterial small subunit ribosomal RNA
Source: RNAcentral
GUGGCGAACGGGUGAGUAACACGUGGGUAACCUGCCCAUCAGAAGGGGAUAACACUUGGAAACAGGUGCUAAUACCGUAUAACAAUCGAAACCGCAUGGUUUUGAUUUGAAAGGCGCUUUCGGGUGUCGCUGAUGGAUGGACCCGCGGUGCAUUAGCUAGUUGGUGAGGUAACGGCUCACCAAGGCCACGAUGCAUAGCCGACCUGAGAGGGUGAUCGGCCACAUUGGGACUGAGACACGGCCCAAACUCCUACGGGAGGCAGCAGUAGGGAAUCUUCGGCAAUGGACGAAAGUCUGACCGAGCAACGCCGCGUGAGUGAAGAAGGUUUUCGGAUCGUAAAACUCUGUUGUUAGAGAAGAACAAGGAUGAGAGUAACUGUUCAUCCCUUGACGGUAUCUAACCAGAAAGCCACGGCUAACUACGUGCCAGCAGCCGCGGUAAUACGUAGGUGGCAAGCGUUGUCCGGAUUUAUUGGGCGUAAAGCGAGCGCAGGCGGUUUCUUAAGUCUGAUGUGAAAGCCCCCGGCUCAACCGGGGAGGGUCAUUGGAAACUGGGAGACUUGAGUGCAGAAGAGGAGAGUGGAAUUCCAUGUGUAGCGGUGAAAUGCGUAGAUAUAUGGAGGAACACCAGUGGCGAAGGCGGCUCUCUGGUCUGUAACUGACGCUGAGGCUCGAAAGCGUGGGGAGCAAACAGGAUUAGAUACCCUGGUAGUCCACGCCGUAAACGAUGAGUGCUAAGUGUUGGAGGGUUUCCGCCCUUCAGUGCUGCAGCUAACGCAUUAAGCACUCCGCCUGGGGAGUACGACCGCAAGGUUGAAACUCAAAGGAAUUGACGGGGGCCCGCACAAGCGGUGGAGCAUGUGGUUUAAUUCGAAGCAACGCGAAGAACCUUACCAGGUCUUGACAUCCUUUGACCACUCUAGAGAUAGAGCUUCCCCUUCGGGGGCAAAGUGACAGGUGGUGCAUGGUUGUCGUCAGCUCGUGUCGUGAGAUGUUGGGUUAAGUCCCGCAACGAGCGCAACCCUUAUUGUUAGUUGCCAUCAUUCAGUUGGGCACUCUAGCAAGACUGCCGGUGACAAACCGGAGGAAGGUGGGGAUGACGUCAAAUCAU